Arabidopsis lyrata subsp. lyrata is the source of this 426-nucleotide long non-coding RNA. RefSeq lists it as uncharacterized. The transcript has 3 exons. NCBI's taxonomy places the organism in Eukaryota, Viridiplantae, Streptophyta, Magnoliopsida, Brassicales, Brassicaceae. The record is from RefSeq and is a predicted model, not a curated record.
ACAAGAGAGAUCGAUGCUAUGGAGGAACUUACCUGGGAUUAUGGUGUCCCAUUCAACCAAGAUGUGUUUCCCACGAGUCCGUUCCAUUGUCGAUGUGGUAGUGAGUUCUGUCGGGUCACUAAGCAGAUAAGCAAAGGUAAGAAUGUGAAGAAGCGAGCAUGAGAGCUUUACAUUGGUAGUUUUUGAAGAUAUGUGGUGGUGCAAUCUCUUUUUUUUUUUUUGUUGAACGAAUUGGCAAAAAAAUUCCAAUCGAAAAAACUUUUUUGUCAAAAAUCCGACAAGGCAUAUAAGCAAAGUCGGUCGGUCCAUUAAAUAGGAAUCAAAGGAUGACACUUUUAUCCUUAGAAACUGGAUUCACUUUUGUGAUAUCAAACUCGUGUAUAUCUUAACUUUAGGUUCUAACGGCUAUGGCUUUUGUUUGACUUA